Molecule: ribosomal RNA, 490 nt
Filed under: uncultured bacterium
Lineage: Bacteria
Description: bacterial SSU rRNA
Rfam family: Bacterial small subunit ribosomal RNA
Source: RNAcentral
AGCGAACGUUUGCGGCGGGCCUAACACAUGCAAGUCGAACGCACUAGCAAUAGUGAGUGGCGCACGGGUGCGUAACACGUGGGUAAUCAACCCUUCAGCUUGGGAUAACGACUUGAAAGGGUCGCUAAUACCGGAUACGGCGAGAGAGGCUUCGGCAUUUCUCGAGAAAGCCUCGCAAGGGGCACUGAAGGACGAGCCUGCGGCCCAUCAGCUAGUUGGUGAGGUAAGAGCUCACCAAGGCGAAGACGGGUAGCUGGUCUGAGAGGAUGAUCAGCCACACUGGAACUGAGACACGGUCCAGACUCCUACGGGAGGCAGCAGUGGGGAAUAUUGCGCAAUGGGCGAAAGCCUGACGCAGCCACGCCGCGUGAGCGAUGAAGGCCUUCGGGUCGUAAAGCUCUGUGGGGAGAGACGAAGAAAGACCCGUGAAGAGCGGGCCGUUGACGGUAGUCUCCUUAGCAAGCACCGGCUAACUCCGUGCCAGCAGCCG